GCCUCUUUAGCUCAGUGGUUAGAGCGCUGGUCUCGUAAACCAGCGGUCAUAGGUUCGACUCCUAUAUGAGGCA
Molecule: transfer RNA, 73 nt
Filed under: Mayetiola destructor (Hessian fly)
Lineage: Eukaryota; Metazoa; Arthropoda; Insecta; Diptera; Cecidomyiidae
Description: tRNA-Thr for anticodon CGU
Rfam family: tRNA
About the family: Transfer RNA (tRNA) molecules are approximately 80 nucleotides in length. Their secondary structure includes four short double-helical elements and three loops (D, anti-codon, and T loops).
Source: RNAcentral